GUCUUUUUGUAAUUAAUUUAAAGUCUAGCCUGCCCAAUGAUAAUUUUAAUGGCCGCAGUAUUUUGACUGUGCAAAGGUAGCAUAAUCAUUAGUUUUUUAAUUGGAAACUGGAAUGAAAGGUUGGACGAGAAAAUAACUGUCUCUUUAUUAAUUUUUUAUAAUUUUAUUUUUAAGUUAAAAAGCUUAAAUUUUUUUAAAAGACGAGAAGACCCUAUAGAGUUUUAUUAAUUUAAUAAUAAUAUAUUAUAUAGAUUUUUUUUAUUAUUAUUAUUAUAUUAAUUUAAUUGGGGUGAUUGAAAAAUUUAAUUAACUUUUUUUUAAUAAAAACAUUAAUAUAUGAAUAAUUGAUCCAUAAAUUAUGAUUAUAAGAUUAAAUUACCUUAGGGAUAACAGCGUAAUUUCUUUUUAGAGUUCUAAUCGAUAAAGAAGUUUGUGACCUCGAUGUUGGAUUAAAAUAAAUUUUUGGUGUAGUAGCUAAAAUAUUGGGUCUGUUCGACCUUUAAAAUUUUACA
RNAcentral lists this ribosomal RNA (512 nucleotides) under Weissflogia rhopalogaster. Its description in RNAcentral is "partial 16S ribosomal RNA". The stretch from base 386 to 512 matches the Rfam family "Bacterial large subunit ribosomal RNA", at positions 2473 to 2600 of the family's 2925-position model. The record is from RNAcentral. Lineage: Eukaryota; Metazoa; Arthropoda; Insecta; Coleoptera; Staphylinidae.